RNAcentral lists this transfer RNA (82 nucleotides) under Dialister micraerophilus DSM 19965. It matches the Rfam family "tRNA". From Rfam's summary of the family: Transfer RNA (tRNA) molecules are approximately 80 nucleotides in length. Their secondary structure includes four short double-helical elements and three loops (D, anti-codon, and T loops). Lineage: Bacteria; Bacillati; Bacillota; Negativicutes; Veillonellales; Veillonellaceae. The record is from Rfam by way of RNAcentral.
GGACAGAUUCCCGAGCGGUCAAAGGGAGCAGACUGUAAAUCUGCCGGCAUCGCCUUCGUAGGUUCGAAUCCUACUCUGUCCA